Molecule: ribosomal RNA, 397 nt
Filed under: uncultured bacterium
Lineage: Bacteria
Description: bacterial SSU rRNA
Rfam family: Bacterial small subunit ribosomal RNA
Source: RNAcentral
GACGAACGCUGGCGGCGCGCUUAACACAUGCAAGUCGAGCGGUAAGGCCCUUUCGGGGGUACACGAGCGGCGAACGGGUGAGUAACACGUGGGUGACCUGCCCUCAGCUCUGGGAUAAGCCUGGGAAACCGGGUCUAAUACUGGAUAUGACUCCAUGACGCAUGUUGUGGGGUGGAAAGCCUUGUGCGGCUGAGGAUGGGCCCGCGGCCUAUCAGCUUGUUGGUGGGGUGANGGCCUACCAAGGCGACGACGGGUAGCCGGCCUGAGAGGGCGACCGGCCACACUGGGACUGAGACACGGCCCAGACUCCUACGGGAGGCAGCAGUGGGGAAUCUUGCGCAAUGGGCGAAAGCCUGACGCAGCGACGCCGCGUGAGGGAUGACGGCCUCGGUUGUAA